UUUAUGCUGACCUAAUGUUGAGCCAAAGGAUAAGAUAACUUAAACGUUGUCCUUACAUUGGUUCUACCAAACGACCUAUGUCUUGGGUCUUUGGUCUUGAACUUCUUUGGCUCGUUCAUGCAAUUCCAUCAUCAGUAUGCUUCUCUCCAUUUGAUUAUAUCGUUGUUUGACACUUGACUUCAUUGUUUGUCAUUCAUCAAAACCUAUACCUGAAAAUCAUGCUCAUACAACCAAAGCGCACAUAUCAAAGGUAUACAUGAUUUCCAACA
RNAcentral lists this long non-coding RNA (269 nucleotides) under Nicotiana benthamiana. RNAcentral describes it as "long non-coding RNA (NBEN_LNC003517)". Lineage: Eukaryota; Viridiplantae; Streptophyta; Magnoliopsida; Solanales; Solanaceae. The record is from RNAcentral.